Anguilla rostrata (American eel) is the source of this 1321-nucleotide long non-coding RNA. RefSeq lists it as uncharacterized. Lineage: Eukaryota; Metazoa; Chordata; Actinopteri; Anguilliformes; Anguillidae. The record is from RefSeq and is a predicted model, not a curated record. The transcript is spliced from 3 exons.
GCGGAGAUUAAGGGAGUUGUCAAUAUUAAAGAUUGAUCUUCUUUAUUCCAUCUUCAUCUUAGCUACCACAUCUAGCCUAAGAUCUUUUGUGAACACAAUAUCUUCACCAAAAAAGAGUCCACACAAAAACUGUCACCAUGGCACAUGGAGCAAUGAUCCUUACCAUAUUCGUGUUUGCUGCUACACCUGUACCAUGCACCACUGAUUCAAACUCAAAAACAGAAUCUAAAGCAGCCCUUCCAGGCCAAUCGGCCAUAAAAAACACCAUCACAACUGAAAAAUCUGCUGUAACUAUGAGGACAACAGAGUCUACCACAUCAGUAUCCAACACUACCAUUCCUGGAACUGAGAAUAAUGUUAAUGUCAAAGCAAAAACAAGUUCAACUGUCCGUACUACUAAAGAAGCAAUGGAGAGCACAGUAACUGCCACGCCAACAGCUGAAACUGUGGUUUCAACCCUUAGCAGUAUUACACCACCUAUGUCGUCCAGCACUGUAACCGCAUCUAUCCACCUCACCAACACAGUGACACACACUGAUUCAGGGUCCACAACUAAAGACAAAACUCCAUCCUCCACAACUUCUGUUUCCUCUACUGCUCCCUCUUCAACAGCCACAUCUCAAGCCCCUGUUAAUGAUACAUCAACGACAUUAGCCCACACAACCACUACUAAAACUUCAUCUCUUAAUAAUGAACCCAAAUCAACACACCAAGCAGUCAUAACGUCAGUCUUCAUUGCCACCAGUAACAGUUUAGAACAUACAGCUAUAGGCAUACCCUCAACUGCCAGGACAACACACACUGAUUCAGGGCCUACAACUAAAAACAAAAUAACAUCCUCCACAAAUUCUGUUUUCUCUACUCCUGCCUCAGCUAUAUCUACAGCUACAAAUGUUACUUCAGCCCCUAUAGCCACUAAUAUUAAUACUGCCUUUGUGACCACAACCAACCUUGUAGGCCCUGCAACUGCCAAACCUACAACAAGUACUGCCACUACUCUUGCAUAUUCAGCAACAACUACAGAUUUCACAAAUCACACAGCCGCAAAACUUCCUUCCACUCCCACAACCACUGGUAUCACAACAACCCCCACAACCUCAAAAGUUACUUUAAGUCCUCUGACAAAUUACACAACUUCAGUCCAUGGGACCAGAACCACAUUGGUAACCCAUACAACUCCCAAAGCCAUGACAAAGCCUCCUGCUACUACAGUUGCACCACCUGGCUCAACUACUGCAUCCUUACAUACAAACCCCACUUCCACAACUACACCUCCAGCUAACAUUUUGGAUAGAUCAACCACAUCACCCGACACAACUGC